CCUACGGGAGGCAGCAGUAGGGAAUAUUGCUCAAUGGGGGAAACCCUGAAGCAGCAACGCCGCGUGGAGGAUGAAGGUUUUCGGAUUGUAAACUUCUUUUGUCAGAGAAGAUAAUGACGGUAUCUGACGAAUAAGCACCGGCUAACUCCGUGCCAGCAGCCGCGGUAAUACGUAGGGUGCAAGCGUUACUCGGAUUCACUGGGCGUAAGAGGGCGUAGGCGGGAGAGCAAGUCCGAUGUGAAAUCCCAUGGCUUAACCAUAGAACUGCCUUUGAAACUGUUAUUCUAGAGUAUGGGAGAGGUAGGUGGAAUUCUUGGUGUAGGGGUAAAAUGCGUAGAGAUCAAGAGGAAUACUCAUUGCGAAGGCGACCUGCUAGAACAUAACUGACGCUGAUGCGCGAAAGCGUGGGGAGCAAACAGGAUUAGAUACCCUAGUAGUC
Molecule: ribosomal RNA, 439 nt
Filed under: uncultured bacterium
Lineage: Bacteria
Description: partial 16S ribosomal RNA
Rfam family: Bacterial small subunit ribosomal RNA
Source: RNAcentral